GGGUAACCUGCCUGUAAGACUGGGAUAACUCCGGCAAACCGGGGCUAAUACCGGAUGCUUGAUUGAACCGCACGGUUCGAUUAUAGAGGUGGCUUUUAGCUACCACUUACUGAUGGACCCUUGGCCCAUUAGCUUCUUGGGGAGUUAACGGGUCACCUGGGCGACGAUGCGUAGCCGACCUGAAAGGGUGAUCGGCCAUUCUGGGCACUGACACACGUCCUCAGACUCCUACGGGAGGCAGCACUAGGGAAUCUUCCGCAAUGGACGAAAGUCUGACGGAGCAACGCCGCGUGAGUGAUGAAGGUUUUCGGAUCGUACAACUCUGUUGUUAGGGAAAAACAAGUACCGUUCGAAUAGGGGGGCACCUUGACGGUACCUAACCUCAAAGCCACGGCUAACUACGUGCCAACAGCCGCGGUAAUACGUAGGUGGUCAGCGUUGUCCGGAAUUAUUGGCCGUUGAGCGCGCGCCCGCGGAUUCCUAAGUCUGAUGGGAAAGCCCCCGGGUUCACCGGGGAGGGUCCUUGGAAACUGGGGAACUUGACUGCAGAAGAGGAAAACGGUAUUCCACGUGGCACGGCGAAAUGCGCAUAGAUAUGGAGGGGAUCCCAUGGCGAGAGCGACUCUCUGGGUUGUGACUCACACUCAGAUUCACAAACGAGAGGAGCGCUCACCACUAGAGAUCCUCCGCAUCCUCUACGCCAAACUACGACGACUCCCGAGUGAUUACAGGUUCUCCCCCUUUUUUGCUGCUGCUCCAAAUUUUAUGAAGCCCCCCCCGCGGG
RNAcentral lists this ribosomal RNA (784 nucleotides) under Bacillus licheniformis. RNAcentral's name for it is "bacterial SSU rRNA". It matches the Rfam family "Bacterial small subunit ribosomal RNA". The record is from RNAcentral. Lineage: Bacteria; Bacillati; Bacillota; Bacilli; Caryophanales; Bacillaceae.